Molecule: ribosomal RNA, 468 nt
Filed under: uncultured bacterium
Lineage: Bacteria
Description: partial 16S ribosomal RNA
Rfam family: Bacterial small subunit ribosomal RNA
Source: RNAcentral
GACGAACGCUGGCGGCGUGCUUAACACAUGCAAGUCGAACGGAAGGGCCCUGCUUUUGUGGGGUGCUCGAGUGGCGAACGGGUGAGUAACACGUGAGUAACCUGCCCCUGACUUUGGGAUAACUUCAGGAAACUGGGGCUAAUACCGGAUAGGAGCUCCUGCUGCAUGGUGGGGGUUGGAAAGUUUCGGCGGUUGGGGAUGGACUCGCGGCUUAUCAGCUUGUUGGUGGGGUAGUGGCUUACCAAGGCUUUGACGGGUAGCCGGCCUGAGAGGGUGACCGGCCACAUUGGGACUGAGAUACGGCCCAGACUCCUACGGGAGGCAGCAGUGGGGAAUAUUGCACAAUGGGCGGAAGCCUGAUGCAGCAACGCCGCGUGCGGGAUGACGGCCUUCGGGUUGUAAACCGCUUUCGCCUGUGACGAAGCGUGAGUGACGGUAAUGGGUAAAGAAGCACCGGCUAACUACGUG